RNAcentral lists this non-coding RNA (221 nucleotides) under Clostridium beijerinckii. Its description in RNAcentral is "T-box sequence". It matches the Rfam family "T-box leader". Rfam says of the family: Uncharged tRNA acts as the effector for transcription antitermination of genes in the T-box leader family. T-boxes are found upstream of many aminoacyl-tRNA synthetase genes and some amino acid biosynthetic genes usually in Gram-positive bacteria. The record is from RNAcentral. Lineage: Bacteria; Bacillati; Bacillota; Clostridia; Eubacteriales; Clostridiaceae.
UGAAAAACUGUGAAUGAGAGAGUAGAUAUUAGAAAAGUUUUAAGGGAGAGAAGGUCAUAGACUGUAAGCCUUCUUAAAUAAUAUAAUAUUGAAGUUCGCUCAGGAGUUCUAGCUGUGAAAUUUAUAGUAGUAGCUAGCGGCAAGAAGAGUCGUUAAUUAAAUUGAGUUGGGUACUUUUUUAGUUCCAAUUAGGGUGGUAACGCGGAUAAUUCGUCCCUUUU